GCGGAGGAAAAGAAACCAACAGGGAUUGCCUCAGUAACGGCGAGUGAAGCGGCAACAGCUCAAAUUUGAAAUCUGGUCCCCUCUGGGGGCCCGAGUUGUAAUUUGAAGAGGAUGCUUUUGGCGAGGCGCCUUCCGAGUGCCCUGGAACGGGACGCCACAGAGGGUGAGAGCCCCGUAUGGUAGGACGCCGAGCCUCUGUAAAGCUCCUUCGACGAGUCGAGUAGUUUGGGAAUGCUGCUCAAAAUGGGAGGUAAACCCCUUCUAAAGCUAAAUAUUGGCCAGAGACCGAUAGCGCACAAGUAGAGUGAUCGAAAGAUGAAAAGCACUUUGAAAAGAGAGUUAAACAGCACGUGAAAUUGUUGAAAGGGAAGCGCUUGCGACCAGACUUGCGCCCGUCGGAUCAACCGUCCCUCGUGGGCGGCGCACUCCGGCGGGCUCAGGCCAGCAUCAGUUUUCCUGGGGGGAGAAAGGCGGUGGGAAUGUGGCUCUUCGGAGUGUUAUAGCCCGCCGCGUAAUGCCCUCGGGGGGACUGAGGACCGCGCGUAUGCAAGGAUGCUGGCGUAAUGGUCGUCAGCGACCCGUCUUGAAACACGGACCAAGGAGUCGUCCUAAUAUGCGAGUGUACGGGUGUAAAACCCCUGCGCGUAAUGAAAGUGAACGGAGGUGAGAGCUUCGGCGCAUCAUCGACCGAUCCUGAUGUUCUCGGAUGGAUUUGAGUAAGAGCAUAUUGGGCCGGACCCGAAAGAAGGUGAACUAUGCCUGUAUAGGGUGAAGCCAGAGGAAACUCUGGUGGAGGCUCGCAGCGGUUCUGACGUGCAAAUCGAUCGUCAAAUAUGGGCAUGGGGGCGAAAGACUAAUCGAACCUUCUAGUAGCUGGUUUCCGCGA
This 886-nucleotide small RNA is filed under the name Cephalotrichum cylindricum. Its description in RNAcentral is "eukaryotic LSU rRNA". It matches the Rfam family "Eukaryotic large subunit ribosomal RNA", at positions 50 to 963 of the family's 3401-position model. The record is from RNAcentral. Lineage: Eukaryota; Fungi; Ascomycota; Sordariomycetes; Microascales; Microascaceae.